GUGCAGCGCCGCGGUAAUACCGGCAGCUCGAGUGAUGUCCAAUAUUAUUGGGCCUAAAGCGUCCGUAGCUGGCCGCGCAAGUCCGUCGGGGAAUCCACCUGCCCAACAGGUGGGCGUCCGGCGGAAACUGUGUGGCUUGGAACCGGAAGGCUCAGAGGGUACGUCCGGGGUAGGAGUGAAAUCCCGUAAUCCCGGACGGACCACCGAUGGCGAAAGCAUCUCGAGAAAACGGAUCCGACAGUGAGGGACGAAAGCUAGGGUCUCGAACCGGAUUAGAAACCCCGGUAGUCC
Molecule: ribosomal RNA, 291 nt
Filed under: uncultured bacterium
Lineage: Bacteria
Description: partial 16S ribosomal RNA
Rfam family: Archaeal small subunit ribosomal RNA
Source: RNAcentral